AUACAUUACAUGAAAUUUCCAUAUAUUGGAAACUAAUGCUUAUAUUUUUCAAUAUACAGCAAUAUAUGCAUUGACAAUAUAUGGCUAUAUAUUAAUGCAUGCAAAUAUUUUUUGAAAUUAAGACAAAGAUAAAUCUAAUACUCGUAAUGUUUGAUACUUUAUUAAGUAUAUAUUGCACACAGAUGCUCCCAUUUAAAUGUUAAUGUCUUUUACUGUCUAUGGUAUACACACACACACACACACAUAUAUAUUCACAGAAUGAGUUAAAGCAGUUCCCUUUCAAGGCGAUAACUCAACAGUCAGCUAAGACGUAUAUGGGAACUCCCUCCUUCUCCACUUUUGAUGAAAUCUUAUGGGCUAUGUCAGCUGGGGACAGAUGGCCAAUUGACGCGAAUCAUGCAAAUACUGACAGGCCAGUGGGCAGUAUAAAAUGCAUGGGCGCGAAAAUUACGUCAGAAUCUCUUUCUUCACGCUAGAAGUCUUAUCGAAGUCAUCGUGGAAGUUGCAUUAGAGGACUACUCACCCCUUUUUCCGCUCCACAUCCGAUGGCUGCUACACGCCAGAUUUGCGCGGGACCCAUUGACCCGCCCGACCGUAGCCAGUUCUGUGUCACCUAACUGGGCCUCGCCCACAUCGAGGGCUCUCGCACUCACGGACUACACGUGCGCUUACUGUGCAGAGCUGCCAGUGCGCGCCAUCAGAGCCAGGAGAGAAGUAGCUCGGACAACAGCGGGGUUGAGGCCCACUGCUGCCAGCGAGCCGCAGGUGGGUCCUCCCCCGCCCGAAGACGAGUUCAUCGCUGUCAGCUUCGCCGACGAUAGCUUCAGCCACCACUCUCGGCGUCGGAAAAGGAUUGGGCAUCUCAGUCGGACCGCCUCGACUUUAUUUGAAUGGGGACAAAAAAAGUAACCGUGGUGCUUAUACAGAGCAAGCUCUACAAAAUGCCAUCAGAGCGAUUGAAGAGGGAACUGCUUUGAAGGCUGCAAUUUUCAUCAGUCUGGAGUCCCCCCAAAGACCUUGAGGUGGCAUAGGGAUAAAAAGUUUUGGAGCCUUAAUCAAAGUGUUUAGGCUGCAAAGCAUUUUUUAUGUCAUUAUUCGAGCUCCAGUUAACUGAGCACAUUCAAUCAAUGGAGAGGCCAUUGUUUGGGCUUUCAACGAUUGAUGUAAGGAGGCUGGCCUAUGACCUGGCAGAGAGUUUAGGCUUGAACCAUUGUUUUAAUUCAGAUGAUGGCAAGAUGGCAGGGAAAGACUGAUUCUAUAAUUUUCUAAGAAGACAAGGAACCCUGUCUGUCAGGCGACUAGCAUUUCUAGGAGGGUGGGGUUCAACAGACCGAAGGUGGACCUGUUCUUCCGUAUUUAUGAGGAUGAGCUCCAAAGGCUUGGUGAAAACGUUGACCACACCCGUCUGUGGAAUAUGGAUGAGGUGGGCGUCCAACAAAUUUGUUGCUUCAAAGGGGAAGAGACAGGUGGUUUACUGUCACUGCUGCCUGUUCCAUGAACGCCGCUGGGCAGUUUGUACCACCACUGUUCAUUUUUCCAAGAAAAAGAAUGAAUGAGCGCCUGCUGUGUGGUGCCCCAGCAGGAUCGAUUGGUGACACAGGGUGGAUGGACAGUACACUCCAGUGGCUGAGACAUUUUUGUGACACCAUUGGAUGCACUUUUCAGAGGCCUCACAUUCUGAUAUUGGAUGGCCACCACUUGCAUAAGACCCCUGAGGCUGUGUUGCUUGCGAGAGAGCGUGGGGUGAUAAUGAUUACCAUCCCACCCCACUGCAGCCACAAGAUGCAGCCAUUAGAUCGCACCUUUUUCAAGUCUUUUAAGGCAAAAUACAACACUGCAGACAACGAAUAGAUAUUUAUGCUGUGUGUGGGCUUUUCGAUAAAGCCCACUCAGCUUCAGCGUGUGUGGGGAAGGUCCAAAAGGGUUUCAAGACCUGUGGGAUCUGGCCUCUUGACAAGACCAUCUACAAAGAUGAAGACUUUGAAAGAGCUGAAGUAACUGAGGAGCCAGAUCCAACCCUCGAGGACAGCAGGGAGAUUGAGAAGGAGAUAAGUGCUGGCCCCAGUGGAUCAUCCGUGGUCCCAAGCACUAGCGCCCACUCCCAACCACAGCCUGGGACUGUCUCCAGAUGUCAGCUGAACAUGGCUACUGUCAUCGUCAUCAUCUUAUUGAGUCAGUUCCCCCUCCUCGAUUCUAGAAGAGCUGUCCCCUAGGACAAGGAUAAAAAACAAGAGGCCACGAAAGAGGGCAUGUGAAUCUUCAGCUGUGCUGACCUCCUCGCCAUAUAAAAAAUGUUGGAGGAUAAGAUAGCUGCACAAAACAAAGGCACACAAAAAAAAGUUAAACGCAAAAGCGCAGCUGAAGUGAAGAAUAAGAAGAAAGAUGAAACAGAAUGCCUCUACUGUGGGAAGUUAUUUCAAUUAGUGGGGGGGACUUUUAUAAGGUGUUAGGGGUGCCAAAAAAGGGCACAUGUAGAUUGUUCCAAUGAGAUUCGAGGGGAAUUCAUCUAUGAAAUGUGCAUGGAUGAACAGUGGCUAAUGAAUUAAUUUUUAUUUAUGUAUUUAUUUAUUUAUUACAACAUAUUUGUUUGCACGGCUUAGUUAUAUGUAUAAAUAUAAAUGUUAAAAUGGCUGUAAAUGGCUAAUGAAUUAAUGUUUACGUAUUUAUUUUCCCCAUAGACAGUAAAUAAAUGGACACAGCAACUCCAUUGGAUUCAAUGGAGACAAAUGAAGUCAAUUAGAAGCACGCACCUGGGGGUCGGACGUACUGCGCAGACUCGAACUGAACUUGAUGACAUAGAUGUCACGUGAGCAACCUGUCCAGCAGGAAAUUCAUGUCCGGUAAAGCCAAGGCCAGAUGUUCAGCUCCAAUGUCAGCAAUUGCAUUUCCAUAAAGGCUAAAAAGGUUAAUGGAGAAGGUCCGCUUCAGCGCACUGGCAUAUUGAAGGAGAUGGCAUAUAACAUACACAUCCGAUGGGCAAAGCUGCGUCCCAUAGAAUGACAGAUUGUCAGGCAGGUUCUUCAACAGCAG
Carassius auratus (goldfish) is the source of this 3030-nucleotide long non-coding RNA. RefSeq lists it as uncharacterized. The record is from RefSeq and is a predicted model, not a curated record. The transcript is spliced from 6 exons. Lineage: Eukaryota; Metazoa; Chordata; Actinopteri; Cypriniformes; Cyprinidae.